This 274-nucleotide ribosomal RNA is filed under the name uncultured bacterium. RNAcentral's name for it is "partial 16S ribosomal RNA". It matches the Rfam family "Bacterial small subunit ribosomal RNA", at positions 523 to 796 of the family's 1533-position model. The record is from RNAcentral.
AGACAGAGGGUGCAAACGUUGCUCGGAAUUACUGGGCGUAAAGCGCGUGUAGGCUGAUUUGUAAGUCGGGUGUGAAAUCCCUGGGCUCAACCUAGGUACUGCAUCCGAAACUGCGAGUCUAGAGUGUUGGAGAGGGAAGCGGAAUUCCUGGUGUAGAGGUGAAAUUCGUAGAUAUCAGGAGGAACACCGGUGGCGAAGGCGGCUUCCUGGACAAUUACUGACGCUGAGACGCGAAAGCGUGGGGAGCAAACAGGAUUAGAAACCCCGGUAGUCC